This 77-nucleotide transfer RNA is filed under the name Clostridia bacterium. RNAcentral's name for it is "tRNA-Val". It matches the Rfam family "tRNA". Rfam says of the family: Transfer RNA (tRNA) molecules are approximately 80 nucleotides in length. Their secondary structure includes four short double-helical elements and three loops (D, anti-codon, and T loops). Lineage: Bacteria; Bacillati; Bacillota; Clostridia. The record is from RNAcentral.
GGAAGCGUAGCUCAGUUGGUUAGAGUACCUGCUUGACAUGCAGGGGGUCAGUGGUUCGAGCCCACCCGUUUCCACCA